UACCGCAGCGGCAGAUUGAAACUAGG
Molecule: non-coding RNA, 26 nt
Filed under: Mus musculus (house mouse)
Lineage: Eukaryota; Metazoa; Chordata; Mammalia; Rodentia; Muridae
Source: RNAcentral